RNAcentral lists this ribosomal RNA (499 nucleotides) under Duganella aquatilis. Its description in RNAcentral is "bacterial SSU rRNA". It matches the Rfam family "Bacterial small subunit ribosomal RNA", at positions 1032 to 1533 of the family's 1533-position model. Lineage: Bacteria; Pseudomonadati; Pseudomonadota; Betaproteobacteria; Burkholderiales; Oxalobacteraceae. The record is from RNAcentral.
ACACAGGUGCUGCAUGGCUGUCGUCAGCUCGUGUCGUGAGAUGUUGGGUUAAGUCCCGCAACGAGCGCAACCCUUGUCAUUAGUUGCUACGAAAGAGCACUCUAAUGAGACUGCCGGUGACAAACCGGAGGAAGGUGGGGAUGACGUCAAGUCCUCAUGGCCCUUAUGGGUAGGGCUUCACACGUCAUACAAUGGUACAUACAGAGGGCCGCCAACCCGCGAGGGGGAGCUAAUCCCAGAAAGUGUAUCGUAGUCCGGAUUGUAGUCUGCAACUCGACUGCAUGAAGUUGGAAUCGCUAGUAAUCGCGGAUCAGCAUGUCGCGGUGAAUACGUUCCCGGGUCUUGUACACACCGCCCGUCACACCAUGGGAGCGGGUUUUACCAGAAGUAGGUAGCUUAACCGCAAGGAGGGCGCUUACCACGGUAGGAUUCGUGACUGGGGUGAAGUCGUAACAAGGUAGCCGUAUCGGAAGGUGCGGCUGGAUCACCUCCUUUCUAG